This 550-nucleotide ribosomal RNA is filed under the name uncultured bacterium. RNAcentral's name for it is "bacterial SSU rRNA". It matches the Rfam family "Bacterial small subunit ribosomal RNA", at positions 355 to 896 of the family's 1533-position model. The record is from RNAcentral.
UAGGGAAUCUUCGGCAAUGGACGGAAGUCUGACCGAGCAACGCCGCGUGAGUGAAGAAGGUUUUCGGAUCGUAAAGCUCUGUUGUAAGAGAAGAACGAGUGUGAGAGUGGAAAGUUCACACUGUGACGGUAUCUUACCAGAAAGGGACGGCUAANUACGUGCCAGCAGCCGCGGUAAUACGUAGGUCCCGAGCGUUGUCCGGAUUUAUUGGGCGUAAAGCGAGCGCAGGCGGUUAGAUAAGUCUGAAGUUAAAGGCUGUGGCUUAACCAUAGUAGGCUUUGGAAACUGUUUAACUUGAGUGCAAGAGGGGAGAGUGGAAUUCCAUGUGUAGCGGUGAAAUGCGUAGAUAUAUGGAGGAACACCGGUGGCGAAAGCGGCUCUCUGGCUUGUAACUGACGCUGAGGCUCGAAAGCGUGGGGAGCAAACAGGAUUAGAUACCCUGGUAGUCCACGCUGUAAACGAUGAGUGCUAGGUGUUAGACCCUUUCCGGGGUUUAGUGCCGUAGCUAACGCAUUAAGCACUCCGCCUGGGGAGUACGACCGCAAGGUUG